GCAAGAAACAAACAACGAAUGCUGUUACAACAUUUUUCCUCGCGUAAACAAACGCGUAUAGAAACUACGAGUAUGGGAAUUUCGGAUCGAAAUGAACUUAAUCGAAUCUCGUCUUUGUUUCGAAGAUUUAAAAAUCGUGAAUCUUCACGCCAACAGGGGACUAUUUACCAAAAGAAAACAAUUCCCGGUGCUACUCAUUGGCUGUCUGCCAGAGAUGGAAAAAAACUGCUCAAAAGGACUAUUAAGCUGCUCUUAUUUUAUAAGAGAAGAUGCUAGUUGGAAAAUCAGUAGAAGGAAAUGUGAAUAUACCUAUGUGUGAUCGAAGUGUUAGAAGCGAGGCACGCGCAACAAGAAUCCGAAUGUCUUCUUCUUCCGCAAACCUGAAGUAAAUGAUUGUCCAAGGGGCUGGUGAGAUCCUCGA
This is a long non-coding RNA of Venturia canescens, 421 nucleotides long. RefSeq lists it as uncharacterized. The record is from RefSeq and is a predicted model, not a curated record. Lineage: Eukaryota; Metazoa; Arthropoda; Insecta; Hymenoptera; Ichneumonidae. The transcript is spliced from 3 exons.